AAUGGCAAUGACAAUGGGAAGCAAGGCUGUAAGGCGGAGAGAAUCCUGAAAGAUUGCCUCGGUUCAGAUUGUUCUCCGCAACUCGGGAACAUGAAG
This 96-nucleotide non-coding RNA is filed under the name Triticum aestivum (bread wheat). RNAcentral describes it as "Bacterial small subunit ribosomal RNA". It matches the Rfam family "Bacterial small subunit ribosomal RNA", at positions 1229 to 1325 of the family's 1533-position model. The record is from Rfam by way of RNAcentral. Lineage: Eukaryota; Viridiplantae; Streptophyta; Magnoliopsida; Poales; Poaceae.